UACGUAGGGUGCAAGCGUUAAUCGGAAUUACUGGGCGUAAAGCGUGCGCAGGCGGUCUUGCAAGUCAGAUGUGAAAUCCCCGGGCUUAACCUGGGAACUGCAUUUGUGACUGCAAGGCUGGAGUACGGUAGAGGGGGAUGGAAUUCCGCGUGUAGCAGUGAAAUGCUUAGAUAUCGUCAAGAACACCAAUAGUGAAGACAGCUUACUGGGCUUAAACUGACGCUGAGGCACGAAAGUGUGGGGAGCAAACAGG
RNAcentral lists this ribosomal RNA (253 nucleotides) under uncultured bacterium. Its description in RNAcentral is "partial 16S ribosomal RNA". It matches the Rfam family "Bacterial small subunit ribosomal RNA", at positions 524 to 776 of the family's 1533-position model. The record is from RNAcentral.